UGGGGAAUAUUGGACAAUGGGCGAAAGCCUGAUCCAGCCAUGCCGCGUGUGUGAAGAAGGCCUUUUGGUUGUAAAGCACUUUAAGUGGGGAGGAAAAGCUUAUGGUUAAUACCCAUAAGCCCUGACGUUACCCACAGAAUAAGCACCGGCUAACUCUGUGCCAGCAGCCGCGGUAAUACAGAGGGUGCAAGCGUUAAUCGGAAUUACUGGGCGUAAAGCGCGCGUAGGUGGUUAUUUAAGUCAGAUGUGAAAGCCCCGGGCUUAACCUGGGAACUGCAUCUGAUACUGGAUAACUAGAGUAGGUGAGAGGGGAGUAGAAUUCCAGGUGUAGCGGUGAAAUGCGUAGAGAUCUGGAGGAAUACCGAUGGCGAAGGCAGCUCCCUGGCAUCAUACUGACACUGAGGGCGAAAGCGUGGGUAGCAAACAGGAUUAGAUACCCUGGUAGUCCACGCCGUAAACGAUGUCUACCAGUCGUUGGGUCUUUUAAAGACUUAUGACGCAGUUAACGCAAUAAGUAGACCGCCUGGGGAGUACGGCCGCAAGGUU
This 546-nucleotide ribosomal RNA is filed under the name uncultured bacterium. Its description in RNAcentral is "bacterial SSU rRNA". It matches the Rfam family "Bacterial small subunit ribosomal RNA", at positions 355 to 895 of the family's 1533-position model. The record is from RNAcentral.